GAGGCCCCGCGACAAAUCCUCCGCCCGACGGCAUCUUCGCCGCCCCAUCCCCUCCCGAGCUUCCAUCCCCCCUCCCUCCCCUCACACAAAACUGCCCCCUUCUCCCUCCCUCUUCUUUACCACUGCCGACCAGCCCACCAUCCCGCCACCAUUCCCACCACCGCCCCACCGCGCGCUCGCUGCCGCCGCGGCGCUUGCUAGGUAGUAGCCGGCCGCGCGCCAUGGCCUCCGUGGCGGCCACCUCCACGCUGGCCCCGGCCCUCGCCGCCCGCCGGCGCCGGGCGCGGCCUGGGGCGUCGCCGCUACCGCUGCCGCCGCGCCGGGCCGCCGUCGUGCGGUGCUCGCUCGACAGCAACGUCUCCGACAUGGGCGUCAACGGUGAGUUAGCGUUGCCCUGCUCGCGCUUCUCUUCUGGGGGCGGUGUCAGCUGGAAGUGGGUUCAUAGACUGUUAAAUGUUUUGUUAAUCCUCUCUGGGAUUUCCACACUGUAGUUCCAAUACUCCCUUAGGCCAUAAAAAGUUUGCCUUUUGGGCUGGAAUCAAACCUGGAGCUCCAAAUUGGCUAUCUAUAUGUGUGGAAAUCGGUAUCAUGUUGAUUUUGGUUCAGAGGUUCAUUCAUGGUACUGUGAUUUUUCCUAUGCUCUAGGAAUAUCUUAUAAUUGGAAAUGCCUCUCAUAGUUGUGUUUUAGAGACCCUGCCGGUGUUCUCUUUUCUGACCAAAAGUGUAGAAUUCUGGGUAGAUUGCUCCAAUUUUUCUGAAUUUGUGCUGUCAGUUCUGUUUCAGUUUCAAUAGCUUUGGGCUGAAAUGCCAGGUUGACUUGGAAAUUCUAAAUGAGGAUCUUUUACAUGUGUGGCAGCUCCCAAAGGGCUGUUCCCACCUGAGCCGGAGCACUACAGGGGGCCAAAGCUCAAGGUGGCCAUCAUUGGGGCAGGCCUUGCCG
RNAcentral lists this long non-coding RNA (940 nucleotides) under Setaria italica (foxtail millet). RNAcentral's name for it is "long non-coding RNA (SITA_LNC000966)". The record is from RNAcentral. Lineage: Eukaryota; Viridiplantae; Streptophyta; Magnoliopsida; Poales; Poaceae.